AUAGCUUUAAUGUCUCUCUGCUCUGUGUGUGUUACAGUGGAUUCUAAGUUGGUAAAUGGCUGUCUCCUCCUAUGCUAAAAGCCCGUGCUGUUGAAGGAACACCACCAGAAGAUGGUGGCCUGUGUGUCACCUUGCACUGCAGAUUGCUAAAAAACCUCAAAAAAUGGAAGAAGCACGUGUGGCUGGCUUACAAUUUUGUGAGCCUAACACAUCUACUGGCCCUAUUGCUGUGCCUUCAUGUCGACCUAUAGGAUCCAUUGCUUCCUUUAUGCUUUUGGGAAGGAUCAAAUCCGAUCUUUACUUCCCCUGGAACAAUUGUGCUUGCUUUACACAUGCCACCAAGCAGGUCUGUG
Molecule: long non-coding RNA, 353 nt
Organism: Apus apus (common swift)
Lineage: Eukaryota; Metazoa; Chordata; Aves; Apodiformes; Apodidae
Exons: 3
Source: RefSeq, a predicted model, not a curated record